RNAcentral lists this ribosomal RNA (330 nucleotides) under uncultured bacterium. RNAcentral's name for it is "bacterial SSU rRNA". It matches the Rfam family "Bacterial small subunit ribosomal RNA", at positions 568 to 898 of the family's 1533-position model. The record is from RNAcentral.
CGUGUAGGCGGUACCAUAAGUCAGAUGUGAAAGCCCUAGGCUUAACCUAGAAGGUGCAUUUGAUACUGUGGAACUAGAGAUCGAGAGAGGUAAGUGGAAUUACGAGUGUAGAGGUGAAAUUCGUAGAUAUUCGUAAGAACACCAGUGGCGAAGGCGACUUACUGGCUCGAUACUGACGCUAAGGCGCGAAAGCGUGGGGAGCAAACAGGAUUAGAUACCCUGGUAGUCCACGCUGUAAACGAUGAGUGCUAGAUGUUGGUGAAGGAAUUCAUCAGUGUCGCAGCUAACGCAUUAAGCACUCCGCCUGGGGAGUACGGUCGCAAGAUUAAA